UACGUAGGGAGCAAGCGUUGUUCGGAUUUACUGGGCGUAAAGGGCGCGUAGGCGGCAAUUCAAGUCAUCUGUGAAAUCUCCGGGCUUAACUCGGAACGGUCAGAUGAUACUGUUUUGCUAGAGUGCAGAAGGGGCAAUCGGAAUUCUUGGUGUAGCGGUGAAAUGCGUAGAUAUCAAGAGGAACACCUGAGGUGAAGACGGGUUGCUGGGCUGACACUGACGUGAGGCGCGAAAGCCAGGGGAGCAAACGGG
This 252-nucleotide ribosomal RNA is filed under the name uncultured bacterium. RNAcentral describes it as "partial 16S ribosomal RNA". It matches the Rfam family "Bacterial small subunit ribosomal RNA", at positions 524 to 776 of the family's 1533-position model. The record is from RNAcentral.